GUGAGGAAUAUUGGUCAAUGGGCGAGAGCCUGAACCAGCCAAGUCGCGUGAAGGAAGAAGGAUCUAUGGUUCGUAAACUUCUUUUGCAGGGGAAUAAAGUGCGGGACGUGUCCUGUUUUGUAUGUACCCUGAGAAUAAGGAUCGGCUAACUCCGUACCAGCAGCCGCGGUAAUACGGAGGAUCCGAGCGUUAUCCGGAUUUAUUGGGUUUAAAGGGUGCGUAGGUGGUUUGAUAAGUCAGCGGUGAAAGUUUGCAGCUUAACUGUAAAAAUGCCGUUGAAACUGUCGGACUUGAGUGUAAAUGAGGUAGGCGGAAUGCGUGGUGUAGCGGUGAAAUGCAUAGAUAUCACGCAGAACUCCGAUUGCGAAGGCAGCUUACUAAGCUACAACUGACACUGAAGCACGAAAGCGUGGGGAUCAAACAGGAUUAGAUACCCGUGUAGUCC
RNAcentral lists this ribosomal RNA (445 nucleotides) under uncultured bacterium. RNAcentral's name for it is "partial 16S ribosomal RNA". It matches the Rfam family "Bacterial small subunit ribosomal RNA", at positions 354 to 796 of the family's 1533-position model. The record is from RNAcentral.